RNAcentral lists this ribosomal RNA (409 nucleotides) under bacterium enrichment culture clone ALO1_GLFRUDD03GHITS. RNAcentral describes it as "bacterial SSU rRNA". It matches the Rfam family "Bacterial small subunit ribosomal RNA", at positions 9 to 417 of the family's 1533-position model. The record is from RNAcentral.
GAGUUUGAUCCUGGCUCAGAUUGAACGCUGGCGGCAUGCCUUACACAUGCAAGUCGAACGGCAGCACGGGAGCUUGCUCCUGGUGGCGAGUGGCGAACGGGUGAGUAAUGCAUCGGAACGUAUCCUGGAGUGGGGGAUAACGUAGCGAAAGUUACGCUAAUACCGCAUAUUCUGUGAGCAGGAAAGCGGGGGACCUUCGGGCCUCGCGCUCUUGGAGCGGCCGAUGUCGGAUUAGCUAGUUGGUGAGGUAAAGGCUCACCAAGGCGACGAUCCGUAGCAGGUCUGAGAGGAUGAUCUGCCACACUGGAACUGAGACACGGUCCAGACUCCUACGGGAGGCGAGCAGUGGGGAAUUUUGGACAAUGGGGGCAACCCUGAUCCAGCCAUGCCGCGUGAGUGAAGAAGGCCU